UUAGAGUUGAUCCUGGCUCAGCUUGAAUGAUGGCGGCAUGGCUAAAACAUGCAAGUCGAACGCGAAAGUCCCUUCGGGGACGAUUAGAGUGGCGAAAGGGCGAGUAAUGCGUUUCUAACGUGCCCCCAGGUGCGGGAUAGCUCGGGGAAACCCGUGGUAAUACCGCAUAAUCCGGUAACGGCAAAGGCUUGCUGCCUGGGGAUCGGGAAACGUGCUAUCAGGUUGUUGGUAGGGUAAAGGCCUACCAAGCCUAAGACGGCUAGCGGGUGUGAGAGCACGACCCGCCGCAUCGGGACUGAGACACUGCCCGGACUCCUACGGGAGGCUGCAGUAACGAAUAUUCCGCAAUGCGCGAAAGCGUGACGGAGCAAUGCCGCGUGCAGGAUGAAGCCCCUCGGGGUGUAAACUGCUGUCAGAAGCCAGAACAACCGAUCAGCUUCAGAGGAAGGACCGGCUAACUUCGUGCCAGCAGCCGCGGUAAUACGAAGGGUCCAAGCGUUAAGCGGAGUCACUGGGCUUAAAGCGUGCGCAGGCGGACUGGUAAGCGUCUUGUGAAAUCCCACCGGUCAACGGUGGAACUGCUUGGCGAACUACCAGUCUUGAGGUCGGCAGGGGCUGCCAGAACUCUAGGUGGAGCGGUGAAAUGCGUAGAUAUCUAGAGGAACGCCAAAGGCCGAAGGCAGGCAGCUGGGCCGAUUCUGACGCUCAGGUACGAAAGCGUGGGUAGCGAACGGGAUUAGAUACCCCGGUAGUCAACGCCCUAAACGAUGUGCACUAGAUCGGGGAGGUUCUGACACCAUCCCGGUCGAAGUUAAACUAUUAAGUGCACCGCCUGGGAAGUACGGUCGCAAGGCUAAAACUCAAAGGCAUUGACGGGGGCUCACACAAGCGG
This 892-nucleotide ribosomal RNA is filed under the name uncultured organism. RNAcentral's name for it is "bacterial SSU rRNA". It matches the Rfam family "Bacterial small subunit ribosomal RNA", at positions 1 to 932 of the family's 1533-position model. The record is from RNAcentral.